UCACUCUCUCUCACACAGAUUCUCCUUCACGACCAAACCUCAUCUCUCUUUAAACCCAUUCCUCUCCCUCUUUAAAAUACACAGAACAGAACCACCGCCUCCCCUUCCCUCUGGCGACGCGCCUCCUCCUCACCUACUUUACCACUAGAACCACCGUCUCUCCCUACAUCUUCUAUUUCAUCUCUCUCUCUCUCUCUCUCUCUCUCUCUGUCUCUCACACACACACACACACACACACAGAGUUCAGAUCGUAAACCCUAGCCGAUGCUGUGAGAUACGGCGGCGUCAGCCAUGUUCCGGCGUAGGUCUGACAACCGUAGGUCGAGAUCUGAGUCGAUCCACACAGAUCUGUGAGUGAUCCACACAGAUUGUAGAUCCAUACCCCAUCUCUGUUACAGCUAAUUACCCUUUCCAUGGAAGUAGUAGAGUCUUCUUCUUCAUCUUCCCUCUCUGCAUCAGACAGAAUUCAUCAACUACCUGGCCAACCCCAAGUCAGUCACCAGCAAUUUUCUGGGUAUGUGACCGUUGAUGCCAAGAAACAGAAAGCUCUAGUUCUUGAAGCUAAAUCAAAUCCGGCUUUCAAGCUUCUUGUUAUCUGGUUAAAUGGAGGGCCAGGUUGUUCUUCAUUGGGGGUUGGGGCAUUUUCUGAAAAUGGACCGUUUAGGCCUAGUGGGAAGGCACUGGUCAGGAAUGAAUAUAGCUGGAACAGAGGUAUGCAUUAGAUGAUGUUUGUGCAUCUCAGUUUGUGGGAAAAUGUGAAAAAUAUAUUUAUGGCAUCUGGUGGACACUCUAAGCAUGGAAUGUCCACGGUUGAAGAAGAGUUCAUGGCAGGGGUUUUAAAUCAUCUUCCUUCAAUUCUGGCCUUUACGGCACCACUUCCAAACAGUUAUGAUCACAUAGUGCCCAAUGUGUGGAGUGGAGCAUGCCAGUGCUAGGGAAAAGAGAACAGAGAAGCACCCCUGAGAACUGCAUGCCCACCUGGGGUUCCAAAUGGUGUUGUGAGCAACUUUGAGAUUAAAGCAUUUGAUGGGUGUGCAAAUCCACACUUGGGGCUGGCUGCUAUAAUUGCUGCUGGGAUUGAUGGCCUUUGUAGACAUCUGAGUUUGCCCGAACCCAUUGGAAUGGUGUGAAAAACAAAUGGAAUUCUCUCUACUGUUUGGCAAAUCGGAAAAGACUAAAGCAAUGAAAGCUGGUAUUGCUCGCCAUGCAGUACUUGAGGAAGAGAUGGAUGAAUUCAUGCAUGAAGCUGAAUUGUACAGGAUUAGUUGGCACUUGUUACAUUUUUUAAAAGAUUAUAUAUUUUUGGAUAGAUGUGUAUAGAAAAUAUUUGGAUAGACUAGUAGUUAUAUUUUUAGAUAGAUGAGCAUGGAUUAAAAUUUAAAAUAUAAUAAAAAGUACUUGUUAUGUUUUAAAUUUUUUUAUGUUAGAUGGACAUGAAUUGGAUGAUUAUAUAGAUUACAUGACUUUUAAUUGAAUGGUUAUGUAGUUUGAAAUUACUUGUGGAUGUAAACUUAUAAUAAUUGAUGAC
Non-coding RNA from Camellia sinensis, 1528 nucleotides. NCBI's taxonomy places the organism in Eukaryota, Viridiplantae, Streptophyta, Magnoliopsida, Ericales, Theaceae. The record is from RefSeq and is a predicted model, not a curated record.